RNAcentral lists this ribosomal RNA (602 nucleotides) under Parambassis apogonoides. RNAcentral's name for it is "partial large subunit ribosomal RNA". It matches the Rfam family "Bacterial large subunit ribosomal RNA", at positions 1794 to 2589 of the family's 2925-position model. Lineage: Eukaryota; Metazoa; Chordata; Actinopteri; Ambassidae. The record is from RNAcentral.
CCUCGCCUGUUUACCAAAAACAUCGCCUCUUGUCCCCUAAAAAUAAGAGGUCCCGCCUGCCCUGUGACUAUACGUUUAACGGCCGCGGUAUUUUAACCGUGCAAAGGUAGCGCAAUCACUUGUCUUUCAAAUGAAGACCUGUAUGAACGGUAUAACGAGGGCUUUACUGUCUCCUCUUUCCAGUCAAUGAAAUUGAUCUCCCCGUGCAGAAGCGGGGAUAACCCCAUAAGACGAGAAGACCCUGUGAAGCUUAAGACAAAGAACAGACCAGACUAAGCACCUCAAACAAAACGAGCCUAAGCACUGGACCCUGCCCCCUGUCUUCGGUUGGGGCGACCACGGAGAAACAAAAAACCCCCAUGUGGAUUAGGAACACCACCUUCAACCCUUGCUCUCCUAGAACUAAGGGCUAUAACACGAAGUAACAAAAAAUUUUGACCAGACAUGAUCCGGUAAUACCGAUUAACAAACCAAGUUACUCCAGGGAUAACAGCGCUAUCCCCUUCUAGAGUCCCUAUCGACAAGGGGGUUUACGACCUCGAUGUUGGAUCAGGACAUCCUAAUGGUGCAACCGCUAUUAAGGGUUCGUUUGUUCAACGAUU